CCCUUAGAUGUUCUGGGCUGCACGCGCGCUACACUGACGCACGCAACAGGUGCCUGCUCCGAGAGGACUGGGUAAUCAUUUGAGUGUGCGUCGUGAUGGGGAUAGAAUAUUGUAAUUAUUACUCUUCAACGAGGAAUGCCUAGUAGGCGCAAGUCAUCAGCUUGCGUCGAUUACGUCCCUGCCCUUUGUACACACCGCCCGUCGCUCCUACCGAUUGGGUGUGCUGGUGAAAUGUUCGGAUCGGCCGUUUGUCGCGGUUUCCGCGUCAUGUGGCUGAGAAGUUCAUUAAACCCUCCCACCUAGAGGAAGGAGAAGUCGUAACA
RNAcentral lists this ribosomal RNA (323 nucleotides) under uncultured eukaryote. Its description in RNAcentral is "partial 18S ribosomal RNA". It matches the Rfam family "Eukaryotic small subunit ribosomal RNA", at positions 1470 to 1796 of the family's 1831-position model. The record is from RNAcentral.